RNAcentral lists this ribosomal RNA (274 nucleotides) under uncultured bacterium. RNAcentral describes it as "partial 16S ribosomal RNA". It matches the Rfam family "Bacterial small subunit ribosomal RNA", at positions 523 to 796 of the family's 1533-position model. The record is from RNAcentral.
AUACGGAGGGAGCAAGCGUUAUUCGGAAUCACUGGGCGUAAAGCGCGCGCAGGCGGCUAUUUAAGUUGGAUGUGAAAGCCUACGGCUCAACCGUAGAACUGCAUCCAAAACUAUUUAGCUAGAGUGUGGGAGAGGAAGAUGGAAUUAGUUGUGUAGGGGUAAAAUCCGUAGAGAUAACUAGGAAUACCAAAAGCGAAGGCAAUCUUCUGGAACACUACUGACGCUGAGGCGCGAAAGCGUGGGGAGCAAACAGGAUUAGAUACCCUAGUAGUCC